UGUAGUCAUAUGCUUGUCUCAAAGACUAAGCCAUGCAUGUCUAAGUAUAAACACCUUUAUACUGCGAAACUGCGAACGGCUCAUUAUAUCAGUUAUAAUCUACUUGAUCGUAUCCUCUUACUUGGAUAACCGUAGUAAUUCUAGAGCUAAUACAUGCAAAAGAUCCCGACUGGUGACGGAAGGGAUGUAUUUAUUAGAUAAAAAACCAAUGCGGCCUCUGGUCGGUUUUGCGGUGAUUCAUAAUAACUGUUCGGAUCGCACGGCUUCACGCUGGCGAUAGUUCAUUCAAAUUUCUGCCCUAUCAGCUUUCGACGGUAGUGUAG
Molecule: ribosomal RNA, 323 nt
Filed under: uncultured fungus
Lineage: Eukaryota; Fungi
Description: bacterial SSU rRNA
Rfam family: Eukaryotic small subunit ribosomal RNA
Source: RNAcentral